This 983-nucleotide long non-coding RNA is filed under the name Chiloscyllium punctatum (brownbanded bambooshark). RNAcentral's name for it is "putative HoxA11 antisense lncRNA isoform2". Lineage: Eukaryota; Metazoa; Chordata; Chondrichthyes; Orectolobiformes; Hemiscylliidae. The record is from RNAcentral.
AAAUAAAGGCAAAUUGUUUCAUCCCGAAGUUUCUCCUUUGGAAUAAUUGGAGGAAUAGAACAUUAUAUAUUCAAUACGGUUGCGGUUUACUUUCUAGUUCACAAGGUCGAAGUUUCACUUCUCCGUAUUUCUGAGCCUAUCGCCAUUUCAUUUUGAACCAUACAACCAUCAUUAGUUUUAGACGAAAUACUCAUUGGAAGAGAACCAGGGAUUGAUGUGAUGCUUCUGAACUUGUAUGUACGUUGUGAAUUUUUAAAAAAAAAAGUAGUUAUAAUCGAUGCUUCAACAGCAAGGUACCAGCUAUGGGUUUCGGUCGCGGGAUUAAAAAAGAACGCAGAUAUAAAGGUUGAAUAAAUCCAACAAUAGAUGUAUAAUAAUUUUUAACGUUGUUUCCUUCAUAAAAAAUGACAAUAAAUUAAGAUUAGACCUCAUCAGACGCCACUGCUCUGAAGCAAUGUGGGAGCCAGGUCAAAUAGCCAUCAACAUUGAAAUAGAGAGAAAGGAAGCACAGUUUUACUUGAAUUGGCUGGUUUUGAACUUGAAGGAUCUUUACUUUGAACUUGGCUUGAGGUGCACAGCUCGGAAUUCUGAAUUAUCUACGUUAAAAGGCUCUGUACUCACCUCAAACGCGGGCAAAACUGGAACACGAAUAAGAUGAACCACUCCCCUGCACCUUAUCAAUAGAUUCCUCCCGCUUUAUAAUCCACAAUCUUUCAAAAUUGGCCGGUACCGCAGCAUACACAGGUGCGAUGGAAUCGCAAAGCCGUUUCUCCAUCCAGUGCCCAGUUGGCGUACCUUUCCGAACGCAAAAGCGAGAGUCUUCUAAUUGCGCCUAAUCUUUGUCAAGUUCACAUAUUCCAAGCCCAUCGUGUGAUGCUGUUGUCUCCCAGAUGAUCAUUCAGGACCCACACACGUAGCCUGUGUGCCCACUAAACUUACAAUGUGACAAAAUGACUGAAUCCCUUUCAGCUGAAAGAACAUAU